CGCCAGUGUAUAUCUAUGCUGCUGCGGUUAAAAAGCUCGUAGUUGGAUCUGCGUGCUUGGAGCCGGUCCGUCGAUGUUCGGCGUGCACUGGCCUCCAGCACUGAAUGGCCGGUUUUCGCUUGAUGCACUUCACCGUGUGUCUAGCGUGGCUGGCAGGUUUACUUUGAAAAAAUUAGAGUGCUCAACACAAGCGACUCGCUUGAAUACUGGUGCAUGGAAUAAUAGAAUAGGACUUCGGUUCUAUUUUGUUGGUUUUCGGAACACGAAGUAAUGAUUAAGAGGGACAGACGGGGGCAUUCGUAUCGCGACGUUAGAGGUGAAAUUCUUGGAUCGUCGCGAGACGGACAACUGCGAAAGCAUUUGCCAAGAAUGUUUUCAUUAAUCAAGAACGAAAGUUAGAGGUU
This 404-nucleotide ribosomal RNA is filed under the name Nematoda sp. MM00163. RNAcentral describes it as "SSU rRNA". It matches the Rfam family "Eukaryotic small subunit ribosomal RNA", at positions 592 to 998 of the family's 1831-position model. Lineage: Eukaryota; Metazoa; Nematoda. The record is from RNAcentral.